CUAAAUUCAAAAGGAAAACAUUCUAUCUCAAACAGAAUUCAUAAUUUUUCAAUUAAUCCAAGGUCUGUACGUUCCUGUCAAAUACAUUUGAUUACCAAGGUCUCUGUGCGUUCCUGUCAAAUACAUUUGAUUACCAAGGUCUCUGUACGUUCCUGUCAAAUACAUUUGAUUACCAAGGUCUCUGUGCGUUCCUGUCAAAUACACUUCAUUACCAAGGUCUCUGUGCGUUCCUGUCAAAUACACUUGAUUACCAAGGUCUCUGUGCGUUCCUGUCAAAUACACUUGAUUACCAAGGUCUCUGUGCGUUCCUGUCAAAUACACUUGAUUACCAAGGUCUCUGUGCGUUCCUGUCAAAUACACUUGAUUACCAAGGUCUCUGUGCGUUCCUGUCAAAUACACUUGAUUAACAAUGUUUCUGUGCGUUCCUGUUUUGCAGGGAUCGGAAGAAAUAUAAAAUCAAUGCCAUUAUAAAACACCACAGAUAUACACACAUACAGUACACCAAGGAAUGUGUGUGUGUGUGUGUGUGUGUGUGUGUG
This 539-nucleotide long non-coding RNA is filed under the name Salmo salar (Atlantic salmon). Its description in RNAcentral is "lncRNA (ENSSSAG00000102648.1)". Lineage: Eukaryota; Metazoa; Chordata; Actinopteri; Salmoniformes; Salmonidae. The record is from RNAcentral.